GCGUUGGUAGUGCAACGAUUUAGCACGCGCUCUCAGGAAGAGCGAAAUCUGGGUUUGAAUCCCAGCUGACGCA
This is a non-coding RNA of Parelaphostrongylus tenuis, 73 nucleotides long. The record is from the annotation of a GenBank genome assembly. Lineage: Eukaryota; Metazoa; Nematoda; Chromadorea; Rhabditida; Metastrongylidae.